Molecule: non-coding RNA, 2359 nt
Organism: Podarcis lilfordi (Lilford's wall lizard)
Lineage: Eukaryota; Metazoa; Chordata; Lepidosauria; Squamata; Lacertidae
Source: the annotation of a GenBank genome assembly
UAUUAUUUAAUUUUAUAUGGGGGUGGGUGUUAGGGUAUCCAGCAGCCACCAGGCCUUCCACGGGUGGCACUAGGCCUGGCAGGACUUCCAUCAGCUUUUCCUGGCACAGCCUUCCCAGUGCCACUCGACAUCCCAUCUGAAGAACAGGAGGCCAAAGACAGCAAAGGUAAGAAAGGGAAGAAGGGGGCGAGGAAGGAGUCAAAGGCAGGGAGCGAGCGACUGAGACGCAGGAUGGUGUGUGUGUGUGCCCCAAACGUGUCUGGGUUUGGGGGCUUUGGAAUAUGGCAACCCUAGAGGGGUGAUGGGAGCUGUAGUCCGAAAAUCUGAAGUGCUGCCUUUAAAAGGAGCUUGAUGGGCAGAAAUCAGUAGGUGACUUCUUCUCUUUUCAUAGCAUGGGGAAUAAAUACCACCUUCACAUUAGGUAAAGGUAAAGGGACCCCUGACCAUUAGGUCCAGUUGUGGCCGACUCUGGGGUUACGGCGCUGAUCUAGCAUUACUGGCCAGCAUGACUAAGCCGCUUCUGGCAAACUAGAGCAGCGCACGGGAACGCCGUUUACCUUCCCGCCAGAUUUAUCUACUUGCACUUUGAUAUGCUUUCGAACUGCUAGGUUGGCAGGAGCAGGAACCGAGCAACAGGAGCUCACCCCGUCGCAGGGAUUCAAACCGCCGACCUUCUGAUCGGCAAGUCCUAGGCUCUGUGGUUUAACCCACAGCGCCACCCGCGUCCCCUAUCUUCACAUUAGACUGCUGUUAAAAGCACAGUUAUGGUGGCCUGGCUGAUGAAAGCAAAUAGUUGGACAAAGUUGGGGUAAAGCAAAUACCAGAUGAACACAAAAAUGAUUUAAAUAGUCCCAUCACAAGUGCAGGGAAACAUGAUGCAAUUAAAAGCCUAAAAACAAAUGAGUCACCAGGUAAAGAUGGUUACACAUCCUCAUUUUGUAAAAAGAACGAGUAACACCAAUUUUAUGUAAUUUAUUAAAUGUGGUUAUGGUAGGAGAGCAGAUUCCAUCUGCAUGGAAGGAAACUCAAACUGUAGUUAUUAAAAAAAACAGAUAAGACAGGGAAAUGGUGUGUUUGUAGCAGGCUUUAAAUGAAAGACUUCCGUCACUUCGCUUCAUAUGCUGUAUUUAUUUAUUUAUUUAUUCAUCACAAAUUAGGUUGAAAUUCUGAAAAGGGCUGGCUUGCAUGGUAUGUGAAAAAUUAAAAGAUUUGUUUUAAAUCUGCUUAAAUCCUGCAUUUUCUUCCAGGUGUCUGAAAACUUUUGAUACUAAUUUUUUUUAUUGAGCUUUCAGCCUCGGCAGCGAUGGAUUUGUUUAUUUUUCUGCUUCCUCUCUAGUUCACUAUAUAUGAACCACUAAUCAUGAAACACAAGACUAUUACAGGCUGUCUCCUUCAUUUCUAAAAUGUUACCCAUGUAGAUUUUGCAGGUAUUUUUCUCCUGAUGUUGACUGCCUGGUUACUUUGUCUACACACUUGCCAGCGGGUGGCGCUGUAUGCCCCCUUUAUAAAUCCUGCAAAUGCUCCCUGGGGAUAAACAAAGGGAUUGUUGUUUUCCUCCUUAAGGAUAACCAAUGCAUAGCCUCCAACAUUUCUCUGAUGCAAAUAGGGUCAUCCUAAUCCAUAAUAAUAAUUUUACUAUUUAUAUGCCAUUCAUCUGACUAGGUUGCUCCAGCCACUCAGGGGCCCUUCCAACAUAUAUAAAAACAUAAUAAAACAUUAAACAUUGAAAAACUUUCCUAUACAGGGCUGCCUUCAGAUGGCUCUGGGGCCAGAUAACUCCAUAUCCUCCAGUAUUUCUCUGAUGAAAAAAAGGAUGUUCUAAGAAAAGCAGGAACUUCCAGGAUCAAAUUAGAAACCAGGACGGCUUCUCUCAAUCAGGGACAUCCCUGGAAAAACAGGGACACUUGGAAGGUCUGUCAAUGAUAUUUUCACACAUGAAAGCAGAAAGUCUGUGAGCCUCUUAGCAGACAAUUUAGCAGCACCAUUCCCACAGUUCCAUGGGAAGAAGAAACUACAGUUCCCAGGAUUCUUUGCGGAAGGAAAGCCAUGACUGUUUAAAGUGGUAUGAUAUCGCUUUAAAUGCAUAUGGGGCCUAAGAGCAGACCAUGACACAAGGGGCAUGUGAAAGAGAAGCCUUUCCUUCCUGCCAUAGCUGUCAACUUUUCCCUUUUCCUGCGAGGAAUCCUAUUCAGAAUAAGGGGAUUUCUCUUAAAAAAAGGGAAACGUUGACAGCUAUGCUUCCUGCAUGCCGAUUCCCCAGUAAGAGCAUACAGAAGAACCUUGCUGCAUCAGACCAAAGGCCCAUCGAAUUCAGCAUCCUGUCCUUACUAUGUAUUCUGGUAGAAAAUUCCAUUCUUUA